RNA transcript from Rhineura floridana, 1613 nucleotides. It is a transcript of the gene named RAD51-associated protein 1-like, with no coding region annotated. The transcript has 6 exons. The record is from RefSeq and is a predicted model, not a curated record. NCBI's taxonomy places the organism in Eukaryota, Metazoa, Chordata, Lepidosauria, Squamata, Rhineuridae.
UAAGAGCAGGCGCAGUGCAAAGCGGAAGAAGUCCCAUUUCCCCCCAUAGAGAUAAGAACGUUAAGUUGAUAGUUUCUUCUUGGGCUGAAAAAUUAGACUCACGCUCAGGGUUCUUUUAAACUUGUUUCUUUCCUUUGAGGGAAAGUCCAUUUUCUAUACGACUUACUGCUACACUUACAGAGGAGCAACUGCCUUUCACUGCUCCGGACAUCAACGCGUCCGCGCGCAGCUGAAUAGCGCGCAAAGCUUCUGCAUGGCCCGUUGAAUGUUCUCCGGGAAGGGCGGCUCACCUCCUUUCCCUCCAGCCUUCCUGCGCGCGAAUUAUGAAUUGAUGGCCGACUGAAGACUUGCCCAGUACGAUGGCGCCGUCAGCGCGGAGGUGAGUGUGUUAAUUGCGCCACGUUUUCUUGUGUCGGAGGAAGAGGAGAAAGUUUUGAAAAACGAGGAAUAAGAAAGCAGUUGAUUAUUCUCAGUUUGGCAGUGCAGAUGAUGAUGAUGAUGAUUUUGCAGAUGCAGCUAUACCUUCAAGCAAAAAAUCAAAGAGGGUAUGUUCUGGGUCAAUGAAAGAGAAAACGGUACAGCAAAAGAAGCCCUCCAAAGAGGAGAUUCAGUUACAGAAGGCAACACCCAACAAAAGAGUUGCCUUGGAUCACAGACUUUAUCAGAGAGACUUGGAGGUCGCCUUAGCAUUAUCAGUGAAUGAAUCACCAGGAAGCAACCAUGAAGUACAAGAUUCACAGGGACAAGCUGAAGAAUCUGUGAGUGCUUCCAACCUCAGUGAAGAUGAUUGUGGUGAAUUCAUUGUAAAGAAGAAAGCUAUAGAAAAUAGGGGGAAAGGAAGGAAGUUAAAUGCUGGGGCGGAAAAGCAUUCCAAAUCAAAAAAGAAUGCGAUAGCUCCAUUUGGAAGCAGUACCAACCAGCUGAGCAGAGUACCUGUGAAAUCACCCACUCAAGGUCUCAGGCUUGGCCUCUCUAGGUUAGCAAGAGUGAAACCCCUGCACCCAAAUUUUGCAAGUACCCAAGUGCAUGUGAUGGCUUUAGAAGGUUGUAAAUUGAAAUUAAAUACCUGGGGUGAGGUGGAGGAUUUUUUUUAAAAAAGUGGGAAAUCUGUUAUAGGCAAUAUGUUUAUAAUUCUGAAUGGGGAACUAAUGCAUCUUUUUUUUUAAAAAAAAAUCCAUGCUGAAGUGUAAGGUUACAAGCUACUGAGAGCGCUUAAAGUAAUCUCCAAUAAUGUUAAGACCCCUCUUCUAUGCUUGGCAAAUUUAUCCCAGUUUUGUAGUUCUGGCCCCAUGAAAUAAUUUUGAGUUAUGGCCCAGGCAAGAUUCCUUAAAUUCUGUGGUGUCUAUCUAGAGGUUGCAUUUUUAAACAUUAUAAACUCUCAGUGUUGACUUGUGUACCUUGGAUUUAGCUAAAAACAAUCUUGAAGUUAUACCUUGGUAUCUUCAUCCUUUCGAUAAAAAAAAUGUGGUUUUCAGGAAUUUAUACUUUUGCCCUGCCUCAGACUGCCCCGUACUAUUCCCCAGAUAUUUGUAACAACUAUUAUCUGAUGUUGAUAAAAGUAUAUUAUGUAUCAUUGUGACUUUUAAGAACUGAAAUAAAAUAUUUGUAGAAGA